GGGACGGGCCGCGCCGGGCAGGCCGCGGCUCAGCGCCUGCUUACCGCUCCAGAGUUUCCCUCCAGGACAGAACCAAAGCAAAGAGGAAACCAAGAGGAAAGAGCAGGAAACACAAGGCAUGAGAGGUGGUCUGCAGAGACAGGAAGACUGAGGGCUGUUGCUGCUCGAAUAGCUGGGAGAUGACAGGCACAGCUGAUGCUCAGUGUCUCAGAAAAUACUUUUCAGGAGCAACGAUUGCCAGCAUGGACAAGUGCUGGUGUGGGGCUAUUAAUGCUUUCAAAGAAGAGAAUGAAAUCUCAGCUGGAGACUCCAUUCAAAGACAGGCUGAGGUGCCCUUCCAAAUGCUCUGCAGUGCAGCUCCCCUGCUGCCAUUUAUCACAUCAAUUCACAUCAUCUCAUCAUGAUACCUAGUUCCCCACUGAAUAUCAGGAUGUGGAACUGACCAUGAGCACAUUUAUUUACUACAGCCAGAGCUGCCAGAGAGCCUGGAGGAUUAUUCUGCACAGAGCUAUAAAUGAUGCCCCAUAUUAAUGAUUGCUUUCACUGAUCUUUGGAGGAAAAUUCCAGAGUGACUCGUGAAGAUGAGAUUUCCAUUUCUACAUCUCAAAUAAACAGCUGCAUGUCAAAAUCCUAGAAA
Long non-coding RNA from Passer domesticus (house sparrow), 637 nucleotides. RefSeq lists it as uncharacterized. The record is from RefSeq and is a predicted model, not a curated record. NCBI's taxonomy places the organism in Eukaryota, Metazoa, Chordata, Aves, Passeriformes, Passeridae. The transcript has 4 exons.